CUACGGGGGGCAGCAGUGAGGAAUAUUGCACAAUGGGGGGAACCCUGAUGCAGCAACGCCGCGUGGAGGAUGACGCAUUUCGGUGUGUAAACUCCUUUUAUAUGUCAAGGAAAUGACGGUAGCAUAUGAAUAAGCACCGGCUAACUCCGUGCCAGCAGCCGCGGUAAUACGGAGGGUGCAAGCGUUACUCGGAAUCACUGGGCGUAAAGGACGCGUAGGCGGGUUGGAAAGUCAGGUGUGAAAUCCUACAGCUUAACUGUAGAACUGCACUUGAAACUUCUAAUCUAGAGUAUGGGAGGGGGAGAUGGAAUUAGUGGUGUAGGGGUAAAAUCCGUAGAUAUCACUAGGAAUACCUAAAGCGAAGGCGAUCUCCUGGAACAUUACUGACGCUAAGGCGUGAAAGUGUGGGGAGCAAACAGGAUUAGAUACCCUAGUAGUC
RNAcentral lists this ribosomal RNA (439 nucleotides) under uncultured bacterium. Its description in RNAcentral is "partial 16S ribosomal RNA". It matches the Rfam family "Bacterial small subunit ribosomal RNA", at positions 339 to 795 of the family's 1533-position model. The record is from RNAcentral.